This is a long non-coding RNA of Rhodamnia argentea, 416 nucleotides long. RefSeq lists it as uncharacterized. Lineage: Eukaryota; Viridiplantae; Streptophyta; Magnoliopsida; Myrtales; Myrtaceae. The record is from RefSeq and is a predicted model, not a curated record. The transcript is spliced from 2 exons.
UUGUAUAGAGAUUGAUCGCAGAGAGAAAGAGGGAGGAAGAAGGAGAAGCGGAGGAAGAUGAUAUACCGCAAGUGGAGUCUGCUCACUGGUCCCGCCGCCAUACUCGGUGGCAUCGUGGCCACUGUGGUCGUCGCCAAUUACAUCUUCGUCGAACACGAUCCAUUCCGCAAACAAGAGCAGAAGCAGACUGAUGCACAACCAUUGGCGAAGUAAUUAUGGGGAGAUGAACUUCACUCAUUUCAUUUUCUUCUACUGUGUUCCAAGUUUGGUUCUGGGGAAAUGCAUAUGACUUGGUAAUCUCUUACCAGAUUCUGCGGGACAAUCUUUAAUCCGGUUUGUCAACAUUCUUGAACGUUGUGUUGGAAUAAAAGGCUAAAAUUAAAACUCAUUGGAGUACAUGCAGCCAUAACCGCUAU